RNAcentral lists this long non-coding RNA (1250 nucleotides) under Mus musculus (house mouse). RNAcentral describes it as "long non-coding RNA chr4:33092665-33093915". The record is from RNAcentral. Lineage: Eukaryota; Metazoa; Chordata; Mammalia; Rodentia; Muridae.
ACUAGGUUGCUCUUAACCACUAAGCCAUCACUCCAGCCCAUAUUUAAAUACCUUAAACAUAGUCUUUCUUUUUUAGAUUUAUUUAUUUUAUUUUAUGAGUGUCUUACUUCUAUGUAUGUCUGUGCACCAUGUACAUGCCUGGUACCCGAGGAAAUCAGAAGAGCGCGCCAGAUGUCCCUGAACUGAAAUUAAGGACAUACCAACUAUUGUGAGCCACCAUAUGGGUUCCAGGAACUGAACCUGGGUCCUCUGCAAAAAAAAAAACAAAAAACAAAAAACAACAACAACAAAAAAAAACCAAAAAAACAAGGCCUCUUACCCACUGAGCCAUAUCUCUACCCCCUAUUUAAAUACUUUUGUUUGAUAAUCCUUUACUUUUCUGUUAAAAAAAAAUAGCAAUGCUUUCAUCUAAUUCUGUUCAGCUGCCACUUUGGGAACAGUUUAACCAUACAUAGUGUUUUUUGUGUGGAACAGCAGGAGAAAGUUGUUCUCAGCAACUGAGCUUUCAGCCUUCGGUCAGUGCAUUUGGGCUGUUUUACAUGCAUCACGAGGAUUCUGAAGAUAGCACCGCAGAUAAGAGCACUCCUGAGACAGUGGACCGAGUCCACGUGUACCUGUAACUCCAGUGCUGGGGAAAGGAGCCAGGUGGAUUGAGGUAGCUGGCUGGCCAGCCAGCCUAGCCAAAAGAGGGAGUUUCAAGUUCAAUGAGAGACCCUGCUUCAAAACACAAGGUGAGGGCUGGAGAGAUGGCUCCAAUAUUAAGAGUCUAUACUACUCUUAUAGAAGACUAGAGCUCCCUGCUCAUGUUAGGCAAUUCACAACUGCCUGGAACUCCAGCCCCAGAGCAGCCAGCCUCCUGGCCUCAAUGGGCAUCUGCUCACUUGAUCACAUGAGCAUGCCCACACACAGACACACAGCAUACACUUCACGAUAAUGAUGAUGAUGACAAUGAGGAUGAUGACGAUGAACACACAUCUUUAAACCUGGCACUUGGAUAGAACUCUGUAUGUUGUAGGUCAAUCUGAUCCACACAAUGAGUUCCAGGCCAACUGAGUACUACAUAGUGAGCCUCAUCUCAAAAUGAAUGAAUCAAUGAAUGAAUGAACAAAUGAGCGACUGACUGAAUGCAUGAAGUGAAGAGUAACACAGAAAGAAAGACACUUUACGUCCUCAUCCGGCCUCUGCAUGUGCACUCAUGAGAUUGCCUCCAUCAUAACUAAUUAGUUAUUUUAAAGCGCAGGAGAAGAACC